Molecule: ribosomal RNA, 549 nt
Filed under: uncultured bacterium
Lineage: Bacteria
Description: partial 16S ribosomal RNA
Rfam family: Bacterial small subunit ribosomal RNA
Source: RNAcentral
UGGGGAAUAUUGCACAAUGGGCGAAAGCCUGAUGCAGCGACGCCGCGUGAGGGAUGACGGCCUUCGGGUUGUAAACCUCUUUCAGCAGGGAAGAAGCGAAAGUGACGGUACCUGCAGAAGAAGCGCCGGCUAACUACGUGCCAGCAGCCGCGGUAAUACGUAGGGCGCAAGCGUUGUCCGGAAUUAUUGGGCGUAAAGAGCUCGUAGGCGGUUAGUCGCGUCUGCUGUGAAAACUCGAGGCUCAACCUCGGGCUUGCAGUGGGUACGGGCUGACUAGAGUGCGGUAGGGGUGACUGGAAUUCCUGGCGUAGCGGUGGAAUGCGCAGAUAUCAGGAGGAACACCGAUGGCGAAGGCAGGUCACUGGGCCGCAACUGACGCUGAGGAGCGAAAGCAUGGGGAGCGAACAGGAUUAGAUACCCUGGUAGUCCAUGCCGUAAACGUUGGGCACUAGGUGUGGGGUCCAUUCCACGGAUUCCGUGCCGCAGCAAACGCAUUAAGUGCCCCGCCUGGGGAGUACGGCCGCAAGGCUAAAACUUAAAUGAAUUGAC